This 253-nucleotide ribosomal RNA is filed under the name uncultured bacterium. Its description in RNAcentral is "partial 16S ribosomal RNA". It matches the Rfam family "Bacterial small subunit ribosomal RNA", at positions 524 to 776 of the family's 1533-position model. The record is from RNAcentral.
UACGUAGGGGGCAAGCGUUGUCCGGAAUUAUUGGGCGUAAAGAGCGUGUAGGCGGUCCGGUAAGUCAGCUGUGAAAGUCAAGGGCUCAACCCUUGAAUGCCGGUUGAUACUGUCGGGCUAGAGUCCGGAAGAGGCGAGUGGAAUUCCUGGUGUAGCGGUGGAAUGCGCAGAUAUCAGGAGGAACACCAAUAGCGAAGGCAGCUCGCUGGGACGUUACUGACACUGAGGCGCGAAAGCGUGGGGAGCGAACAGG